GACAGAGGGUGCAAACGUUGUUCGGAAUUACUGGGCGUAAAGCGAGUGUAGGCGGUUUGGUAAGUCGGAUGUGAAGGCCCCGGGCUCAACCCGGGAAGUGCACUCGAUACUGCCAAGCUAGAGUAUCGGAGAGGUUGGUGGAAUUCUCGGUGUAGAGGUGAAAUUCGUAGAUAUCGGGAGGAACACCGGUGGCGAAGGCGGCCAACUGGACGAAUACUGACGCUGAGACUCGAAAGCGUGGGGAGCAAACAGG
Molecule: ribosomal RNA, 253 nt
Filed under: uncultured bacterium
Lineage: Bacteria
Description: partial 16S ribosomal RNA
Rfam family: Bacterial small subunit ribosomal RNA
Source: RNAcentral